This 464-nucleotide ribosomal RNA is filed under the name uncultured Chloroflexota bacterium. RNAcentral's name for it is "bacterial SSU rRNA". It matches the Rfam family "Bacterial small subunit ribosomal RNA", at positions 316 to 796 of the family's 1533-position model. The record is from RNAcentral. Lineage: Bacteria; Bacillati; Chloroflexota.
GAACUGAGACACGGUUCCGACUCCUACGGGGGGCGGCAGUGAGGAAUAUUGCGCAAUGGGGGCAACCCUGACGCAGCAACGCCGCGUGGAGGACGAAGGUUUUCGGAUUGUAAACUCCUUAUCUGGGGGAAGAGGAAGGACGGUACCCCAGGACGUAGACACGGCUAACUAGGUGCCAGCAGCCGCGGUAAUACCUAGGUGUCGAGCGUUAUCCGGAAUUACUGGGCGUAAAGGGUGCGCAGGCGGCGAUACAAGUCUGGCGUGAAAGCUUCUGGCUUAACUGGGAGAGGACGUUGGAAACUGUAUGGCUAGAGUGAAUGAGAGGGGGGCGGAAAUCCCGGUGUAGUGGUGGAAUGCGUAGAUAUCGGGAAGAACACCAGAGGCGAAGGCGGCCUCCUGGCAUUUUACUGACGCUGAGGCACGAAAGCGUGGGUAGCGAACGGGAUUAGAUACCCUGGUAGUCA